ACAGAAAUCACCAGAAGAUCUUGUUAAAAUGCAGAUCCUGAUUCAGUAGGUCUGGGGUAGACUGAGAUGCUGCAUUUCUUAUAAGUUCAGGGAGAGGCCAAU
RNAcentral lists this microRNA precursor (102 nucleotides) under Marmota monax (woodchuck). The record is from RNAcentral. Lineage: Eukaryota; Metazoa; Chordata; Mammalia; Rodentia; Sciuridae.